UAUUGGGGGGGCGUGCUUUACACAUGCAAGUCGAACGGUGAAGCAGAGCUUGCUCUGUGGAUCAGUGGCGAACGGGUGAGUAACACGUGAGCAAUCUGCCCCUGACUCUGGGAUAAGCGCUGGAAACGGCGUCUAAUACCGGAUACGAGCUGCGAAGGCAUCUUCAGCAGUUGGAAAGAAUUUCGGUCAGGGAUGAGCUCGCGGCCUAUCAGCUUGUUGGUGAGGUAAUGGCUCACCAAGGCGUCGACGGGUAGCCGGCCUGAGAGGGUGACCGGCCACACUGGGACUGAGACACGGCCCAGACUCCUACGGGAGGCAGCAGUGGGGAAUAUUGCACAAUGGGCGGAAGCCUGAUGCAGCAACGCCGCGUGAGGGAUGACGGCCUUCGGGUUGUAAACCUCUUUUAGCAGGGAAGAAGCGAAAGUGACGGUACCUGCAGAAAAAGCGCCGGCUAACUACGUGCCAGCAGCCGCGGUAAUACGUAGGGCGCAAGCGUUAUCCGGAAUUAUUGGGCGUAAAGAGCUCGUAGGCGGUCUGUCGCGUCUGCUGUGAAAUCCCGAGGCUCAACCUCGGGUCUGCAGUGGGUACGGGCAGACUAGAGUGCGGUAGGGGAGAUUGGAAUUCCUGGUGUAGCGGUGGAAUGCGCAGAUAUCAGGAGGAACACCGAUGGCGAAGGCAGAUCUCUGGGCCGUAACUGACGCUGAGGAGCGAAAGGGUGGGGAGCAAACAGGCUUAGAUACCCUGGUAGUCCACCCCGUAAACGUUGGGAACUAGUUGUGGGGUCCAUUCCACGGAUUCCGUGACGCAGCUAACGCAUUAAGUUCCCCGCCUGGGGAGUACGGCCGCAAGGCUAAAACUCAAAGGAAUUGACGGGGACCCGCACAAGCGGCGGAGCAUGCGGAUUAAUUCGAUGCAACGCGAAGAACCUUACCAAGGCUUGACAUAUACGA
Molecule: ribosomal RNA, 950 nt
Filed under: Microbacterium schleiferi
Lineage: Bacteria; Bacillati; Actinomycetota; Actinomycetes; Micrococcales; Microbacteriaceae
Description: bacterial SSU rRNA
Rfam family: Bacterial small subunit ribosomal RNA
Source: RNAcentral